AAAGCCUCACCACCAGACACCGGAACCUCUCCCUUGGUCUGCACACAUUGGGUCUCAUUAAUGAAACAUUGAAGUGGUCUCAGUGAGAGAGGAGAUAAUCCAGAGAGGUUGAAGCAGCAGCAGCCUGUGUGUGGAGAGGCUCUGACUGGACUGUGUUCCUGGGAGGAAGAGGAAGAGGAGAGCUUCAUCCAGCAGUGACUGACUGAAUCACAGCAGCACUUAGAUGAUAAAGUGUUAAAGUGCAUCUUCUUCACAUAAUUCUACGUUCUAUUGACAUAAACUGAGCUGUGUGUUAACAGGCUGCUAGAAGCUUCUUUGCAUUUCAUUGAGGAACAUUUUCUUUAGUUGGUGCUUGAAGUGCUGACUUUAGAGAAACAUCUUUUACAUGACCUUACAUUUUGGGGGAGUCUCCAUUGGCCUUGAUGACAGCUUUGCACACUCUUGGUAUUCUCUCAGUCAGCUUCAUGAGGUCGUCUCCUGGAGUGGUUUUGAAUGAACAGCUGAGCCCCUGUCAUUUGUGGAAUGAAUCACUUUCUUCAUGUGCUUGAGACCAUUAGUUGUGUUGUCUGCAGAACUCUGUAGCUUGCAUGCUGUUUCUCAUGUAGGUUCUCAUUAAAGGGGCCGAGCCGAGCGGCAUCUGUUGUGGCUGCUACAAUUACUAGUGACAUAAAACUCAUUCAACCCCACUUCAAAAACACUGAAAUAUCCCUUUAAUCUGAGGAUUUGCUGCUUUUCUUUGUAAUUUAUGAAAUGAAAAGAAGAGUUUCAUUUGAACUGUUCAUUUGGUUGAAAAUAAAACGCCUUAUCAACAUGUCA
This is a long non-coding RNA of Notolabrus celidotus (New Zealand spotty), 816 nucleotides long. RefSeq lists it as uncharacterized. The record is from RefSeq and is a predicted model, not a curated record. NCBI's taxonomy places the organism in Eukaryota, Metazoa, Chordata, Actinopteri, Labriformes, Labridae. The transcript is spliced from 2 exons.